This is a non-coding RNA of Solanum lycopersicum (tomato), 1716 nucleotides long. The record is from RefSeq and is a predicted model, not a curated record. NCBI's taxonomy places the organism in Eukaryota, Viridiplantae, Streptophyta, Magnoliopsida, Solanales, Solanaceae.
GCUCACUAUACCUUUUUCCCCAAAUAAAAAUAGGAGAUGCUCAAUCAAUUUACUCAGAAACAAAACCUUAUUUCCAUCUCCUUCACAUUUCAUCGCAGAAAUUCUCUAUUGUAGCUUUAUCUAGUUCUUCUUGCUACAGAUCUUGUUUUUACGGUACGUUUCUCUCUUCUUCUAUGUCUUCGAUUGGGGAAGUGGAGAAACAGUUCAAAUCAUUCCAACAUCGUUUGGAGGAGUUGGGGAGACUACAAAAGCGGUUAAGGAUAGUUUCCAUCACAACUAUAUCCUAAAAUGGAGGCAUGUAUAUUCUUCCUUAUGUGGUAGCAACUCUCUAUUCAAGAUGAAUUUCAGUCCCUGCUCUCUCCUCGAGAUAGAACUUCAGGCUACCAUGGGUAGUUCCGAAGUUUCACUCCAAAAAUUUGUACAUGCCUUCAAAUUAGAGAGUCACGUGGGCUGCAAUUCUAUCUUUUCAACACAUAUAUCUUCUCUGCUACAAUUUUCCUUCUUCACAGACAACCAAAAGGUUAAACUUCCUAAUGUAGACCUCUUCAUGUUUCCGCGCAUAUUUUGAUUUCCCUUUUUCAUAAGUCUGGCGAUCCUUCUCAUCUUUUCUUCGAGAGGGGAACAUGGUUGGCAGAAGGGUUGUUGAGUUCAACAAAUACCUCUAUUCAUUUUCUAGUAUUAUAUGUAACAUGCGACGAAUCUUAUAUCUCUAGCUGGUCCUGAUGCUGGGAUAGCUUCUAUUCCCUGGAUCCGUGGUUCAGGUAUCUGGAGCAUUCUUGAAGAAUCUUUACUCAAGAUAGCAAUUUACAACAAUUUUAUCCAGGUUACACAAAAAUCCCUACUGACAUAGCUAUUUAUUAAAAAGGAUGUAAGUGUCUUCCAGUACUCAACAAUAAGGUACACAGAAACUCUAAUGACAAGAAAAGGCUUGCAAAUUUAGAAAAUUUACUUAUUAUGUUUGAAAAGGAUGAAAUUUUUGUACCAAAGCAGACCUCAUGGUUUUGGUACUAUCCUGAUGGUUCCUUCACCACUCUCUCACCUGAUCAGAAGAUGACACAAACUAGAAGUAAGAGAAGUGAAAGUGGAGCUUCAAAUGAGACAUACCUUACACCUCAUCUCCCAGUGAGGUUGAAGUUGAUGUUGAUACUUCAAAUAAAAGAAAAACCAUGGAACCUAGAGCUAAUUAUUGGAAGCAUUUUGAAAAGUUCACCGAUGAACAUGGAGCUAGUAAAGCCAAAUGCAAGUAUUGUGAAAAAGCUUAUGUAGCCUCUACAUCAUCUAAUGUUGCAGCUUGUAAGUUCAACUAUCAACUAGUGAUGUGUGAUAAUGAAUCUAUUUUCUCGCAGGUCCAUCAAUGUUUUGUUAUUCUCUUGAUUGCUGUCUGCUAGAACUUGGGAGCAAUUGCAAUGUAGGUUGCAAGUUGGAACGAUGUUUUGUUGGAUUUCUAAAUCUAUUUGUUGCUGGAAGUUGCAAUGAGCCAAAUAAUGAUGAUUUUAGUUUGUAACUAACUCUAUUUUAGUGAUGGACACAAGUUUGUUGAACUUUCACAAGUUCGUUGUUGUGUUGUUGUCUUGACUUUUGAUAGAGGUUGCAAGUUGCAACGAUGUUUUGUGGAUUUUCUAAAUCUCUUUGUUGCUGGAAAUUGCAAUGAGCCAGAUAAUGAUGACUUUAGUUUGUAACUAACUCUAUUUUAGUGAUGGACACAAGUUUAUUGAA